UGCACUCACUACUGUAAGUCGCUUUGGAUAUGAGCGUCUGCUAAAUGACUAAAA
Salmo salar (Atlantic salmon) is the source of this 54-nucleotide non-coding RNA. NCBI's taxonomy places the organism in Eukaryota, Metazoa, Chordata, Actinopteri, Salmoniformes, Salmonidae. The record is from Rfam.